AGAAUGAACGUUGGCGGCGUGGAUUAGGCAUGCAAGUCGAUCGGGGCCUUCGGGUACCCGAGGCGAAAGGGUGAGUAAGGCGACGGCAACCAACCCCGAGGAUGGCCAUAACCGCGGGAAACCGCGGCUAAUAGCCAGCGACGUCGGGCCGGCGGCAUCGCCGGCCGACCAAAAGGUGUGAUCCCGCCUCGGGACGGGCCGUCGUGGUAUCAGCUCGUUGGCGGGGUAACGGCCCACCAAGGCUGCGACGCCUACCGGGCGUGCGAGCGUGGCCCGGCACACUGGGACUGAGACACUGCCCAGACACCUACGGGUGGCUGCAGUCGAGAAUCUUCGGCAAUGGGCGCAAGCCCGACCGAGCGACGCCGCGUGGAGGACGAAGGCCUUCGGGUUGUAAACUCCUGUCGAGGGGGACAAGGCCGCGUGAAGAGCGUGGCUUGAGUGAUCCCUGGAGGAAGCACGGGCUAAGUUCGUGCCAGCAGCCGC
This 486-nucleotide ribosomal RNA is filed under the name uncultured bacterium. Its description in RNAcentral is "SSU rRNA". It matches the Rfam family "Bacterial small subunit ribosomal RNA", at positions 26 to 518 of the family's 1533-position model. The record is from RNAcentral.